GUUGGAUAUGAAGGAGAGAUCUA
Molecule: non-coding RNA, 23 nt
Filed under: Cricetulus griseus (Chinese hamster)
Lineage: Eukaryota; Metazoa; Chordata; Mammalia; Rodentia; Cricetidae
Source: RNAcentral